UCCUAACCCAUGUGGACCUACCUUUGUUGCCUCGGCAGGUCUGCAUCUUACCCUGAGGGGACCUACCCUGUAGGGACCUUACCCGGUAGUUGCGGGCAUAACCUGCCGGUGGUCUACUAAACUCUGUUUACUAUGUUAUUCUGAAUAAUAUAACUAAAUAAGUUAAAACUUUCAACAACGGAUCUCUUGGUUCUGGCAUCGAUGAAGAACGCAGCGAAAUGCGAUAAGUAAUGUGAAUUGCAGAAUUCAGUGAAUCAUCGAAUCUUUGAACGCACAUUGCGCCCAUUAGUAUUCUAGUGGGCAUGCCUGUUCGAGCGUCAUUUCAACCCUUAAGCCCUGUUGCUUAGCGUUGGGAGCCUACAGAUACCCUUUGUAGUUCCUUAAAGUUAGUGGCGGAGUCGGUUUCACACUCUAGACGUAGUAAAUUUUAUCUCGCCUAUAGAUGAGCCGGUCCCUUGCCGUAAAACCCCCUAAUUUCUAAAAGGUUGACCUCGGAUCAGGUAGGAAUACCCGCUGAACUUAAGCAUAUCAUA
Molecule: ribosomal RNA, 533 nt
Filed under: Xylaria venosula
Lineage: Eukaryota; Fungi; Ascomycota; Sordariomycetes; Xylariales; Xylariaceae
Description: eukaryotic LSU rRNA
Rfam family: 5.8S ribosomal RNA (bases 167-320)
Source: RNAcentral